RNAcentral lists this ribosomal RNA (496 nucleotides) under uncultured bacterium. RNAcentral describes it as "partial 16S ribosomal RNA". It matches the Rfam family "Bacterial small subunit ribosomal RNA", at positions 28 to 506 of the family's 1533-position model. The record is from RNAcentral.
GAUGAACGCUGGCGGCGUGCCUAAUACAUGCAAGUCGAGCGAACAGACGAGGAGCUUGCUCCUCUGACGUUAGCGGCGGACGGGUGAGUAACACGUGGAUAACCUACCUAUAAGACUGGGAUAACUUCGGGAAACCGGAGCUAAUACCGGAUAAUAUAUUGAACCGCAUGGUUCAAUAGUGAAAGACGGUUUUGCUGUCACUUAUAGAUGGAUCCGCGCCGCAUUAGCUAGUUGGUAAGGUAACGGCUUACCAAGGCAACGAUGCGUAGCCGACCUGAGAGGGUGAUCGGCCACACUGGAACUGAGACACGGUCCAGACUCUUACGGGAGGCAGCAGUAGGGAAUCUUCCGCAAUGGGCGAAAGCCUGACGGAGCAACGCCGCGUGAGUGAUGAAGGUCUUCGGAUCGUAAAACUCUGUUAUUAGGGAAGAACAAAUGUGUAAGUAACUAUGCACGUCUUGACGGUACCUAAGCAGAAAGCCACGGCUAACUACGU